Molecule: transfer RNA, 73 nt
Filed under: Actinomycetota bacterium
Lineage: Bacteria; Bacillati; Actinomycetota
Also listed under: 1 other name
Description: tRNA-Arg
Rfam family: tRNA
About the family: Transfer RNA (tRNA) molecules are approximately 80 nucleotides in length.
Source: RNAcentral
ACCCCUGUAGCUCAGCGGAGAGAGCGGCGGCUUCCGAAGCCGACGGGCGCCGGUUCGAAUCCGGCUGGGGGUA